AAGAGAUUAGCUCAGUUGGUAAAGCUGUCGCUUUACACGCGAAAAGCUGACUCAGGUGUUCAAGUCACCUAUCUCUUA
Molecule: transfer RNA, 78 nt
Filed under: Penicillium rubens
Lineage: Eukaryota; Fungi; Ascomycota; Eurotiomycetes; Eurotiales; Aspergillaceae
Description: tRNA-Val
Rfam family: tRNA
About the family: Transfer RNA (tRNA) molecules are approximately 80 nucleotides in length. Their secondary structure includes four short double-helical elements and three loops (D, anti-codon, and T loops). Further hydrogen bonds mediate the characteristic L-shaped molecular structure. tRNAs have two regions of fundamental functional importance: the anti-codon, which is responsible for specific mRNA codon recognition, and the 3' end, to which the tRNAs corresponding amino acid is attached (by aminoacyl-tRNA synthetases). tRNAs cope with the degeneracy of the genetic code in two manners: having more than one tRNA (with a specific anti-codon) for a particular amino acid; and 'wobble' base-pairing, i.e. permitting non-standard base-pairing at the 3rd anti-codon position.
Source: RNAcentral